RNAcentral lists this long non-coding RNA (272 nucleotides) under Brassica napus (rape). Its description in RNAcentral is "long non-coding RNA (BNAP_LNC014024)". Lineage: Eukaryota; Viridiplantae; Streptophyta; Magnoliopsida; Brassicales; Brassicaceae. The record is from RNAcentral.
GAGUAAAAUCCGUGGUAUAUUAACUCCCCCAUAAUUACCCAUUUGCUUGUCCUCAAGCAAAACAAAGAGUAGUCUUUAUGAAAGAGGUUUGAAACUAGCAGACACUCACACAAUUUAAGAACUCACUAUCAUCACCUCUACAAUGUUGCAAGCCACAUCAAAUCAAUUCUAACCUUAGAGGUACUUUAUAUACCAUAUCCUAGCUUAGCAACCAAAUCCAUCUAACCAACAACUUAGCUAAUACUGUCUGACUAACCCCUCUACUGACCUCA